This 36-nucleotide ribosomal RNA is filed under the name Pohlia proligera. Its description in RNAcentral is "partial 26S ribosomal RNA". The record is from RNAcentral. Lineage: Eukaryota; Viridiplantae; Streptophyta; Bryopsida; Bryales; Mniaceae.
GGCCUCUAAUCGGAAAAGACCACCCGCUGAGUUUAA